UCAGUCACUCUUAUCCUGAAGACUGGACAUGCAGGAUUUGGGAAUCAAAUAUCUACACACUUCAGCCGUGGCCGUUCUUCAGUGAGCCACAUUGUCACCCAUGAUUACAACACAGAGACUGGGAAUAACAACAUCGUCCUCAUUAGACUCGUUAAACCAUUGCAGAUGAAUGAUCAAAUAAGGCCUGUGUGUUUGCCCAAUGUCGGGCUGGACUUCACUGCUCCCCAGACAUUCUGGAUUUCAGGGUUUGGCAGCACAGUUUCUAGUGGUAGGUCGUAUUUAUGCAAUAUCAUGAGAACAUAUAUAUUAGUUGAAGUAGGAUGUUUACAUACACCUUAUCCAAAUACAUUUAAACUCAGUUUUUCACAAUUCCUGACAUUUAAUCCUUGUAAGAGUUCUCUGUUUCAGGUCAGAUAGGAUCACCACUUUAUUUUAAGAAUGUGAAAUGUCAGAAUAAUAGAGAGAAUGAUUUUUCAGCUUUUAUUUCUUUCAUUGCAUUCCCAGUGGGUCAGAAGUUUACAUACACUCAAUUAGUAUUUGGUAGCAUUGCUUUUAAAUUGUUUAACUUGGGUCAAACGUUUUGGGUAGCCUUUCAGAAGCUUCCCACAAUAAGUUGGGUGAAAUUUGGCCCAUUCCUCCUGACAGAGCUGGUGUAACUGAGUCAGGACUCAGUAUGGUGGCUGGUAGGGGACACAAGCUGGGGAGAUGUCUGUGCCGAGGAACAAACCAGGCAUCUAUGGAAACGUCGCCUUCUUCCUAGGCUGGAUCUAUGAACAAAUGCAGAAAUAAAGAAACUGAGAAAUCACUGGUGGACAAUCAGAAUGAAAUGGUGGAAACAUUUUUUUCUGAAUAGAAAAGCCAGAAAGACAUGUUUGUACGUACAGUGUGUCAUCAGAAAUGCAAUAUUUGUGCUACAUAUUGAAUUUGUCC
This is a long non-coding RNA of Oncorhynchus tshawytscha (Chinook salmon), 930 nucleotides long. The record is from Ensembl. NCBI's taxonomy places the organism in Eukaryota, Metazoa, Chordata, Actinopteri, Salmoniformes, Salmonidae.